CCACAAUGUACCAUGUGUCAGUCAGUCAGUCAGGUCUCACAAAUACUUUAAUGUUACAGUGUUGUGUGUCCACAAUGUACCAUGUGUCAGUCAGGUCUCACAAAAUACUUUAAUGUUACAGUGUUGUGUGUCCACAAUGUACCAUGUGUCUGUCAGUCAGGUCUCACAAAAUACUUUAAUGUUACAUUGGUGUGUGUCCACAAUGUACCAUGUGUCAGUCAGGUCUCA
Molecule: long non-coding RNA, 228 nt
Organism: Haliotis rufescens (red abalone)
Lineage: Eukaryota; Metazoa; Mollusca; Gastropoda; Lepetellida; Haliotidae
Exons: 2
Source: RefSeq, a predicted model, not a curated record